This 517-nucleotide ribosomal RNA is filed under the name uncultured bacterium. RNAcentral describes it as "bacterial SSU rRNA". It matches the Rfam family "Bacterial small subunit ribosomal RNA", at positions 28 to 526 of the family's 1533-position model. The record is from RNAcentral.
GAUGAACGCCGGCGGUGUGCCUAAUACAUGCAAGUCGUACGCACUGGCCCAACUGAUUGAUGGUGCUUGCACCUGAUUGACGAUGGAUCACCAGUGAGUGGCGGACGGGUGAGUAACACGUAGGUAACCUGCCCCGGAGCAGGGGAUAACAUUUGGAAACAGAUGCUAAUACCGCAUAACAACAAAAGCCACAUGGCUUUUGUUUGAAAGAUGGCUUUGGCUAUCACUCUGGGAUGGACCUGCGGUGCAUUAGCUAGUUGGUAAGGUAACGGCUUACCAAGGCGAUGAUGCAUAGCCGAGUUGAGAGACUGAUCGGCCACAAUGGAACUGAGACACGGUCCAUACUCCUACGGGAGGCAGCAGUAGGGAAUCUUCCACAAUGGGCGCAAGCCUGAUGGAGCAACACCGCGUGAGUGAAGAAGGGUUUCGGCUCGUAAAGCUCUGUUGUUGGAGAAGAUAAUGACGGUAUCAGGAGAAGAAGCCCCGGCUAACUCCGUGCCAGCAGCCGCAGUAAGAC